AGAGAAAAAAACAGUAUUUUUUUUUUUUAAAGGAAGCUUGUCAUUUUACUCUUCAUUCCCAAAAUGGGAAUUGAUAGAGACAGAAAAAUUAUAUUUUUUUAAGUUUUUCUUCAUUGAGAGAAAUACUCUGUUUCCUGAUAUGAACAGUUGCAAUUAAUGAUCUAACUGGGUCCAUUAAAAGAUACAAAUAGUACUUGGCUGUAAAAUCAGUAAAAACAGCACGUGACUUUUUUACAGGAUUAUCAUGCACUCUAAACACCAAGUGCUUACAGCCUCUGAAAGUCGCCUGCCUGGAGCUCAUACUCUUGUUCAGACCAUUAGUAGCCUCUUUGAUGAAUUAAAAUUUAGGUUACAUCAGUAUUACUCCAACGGUAUCUCUUUAUUCUCUGUACUUACUUUCCAUUAACAAAUAUUUAAAUCUAUGUUAGCCAGCUUUUAGUUUCCUCCUCUUAUGAAGUAUCCAGUUGGGAAAUGGGUGAGUUUCUCUAAUAAAAUAUUCUGAUCAUUGAGAGAUGGAGAAAAAUGGCAGGAUCCAUUUUAAAGAAAUGGCUACAUUUGAAAUAAACUAUUGUUUUUGUCAUAGCCUACCCUCUUCCAUUUUGCCUAUUUGUAGUAUAAUGUUCAAAAUUAAUGUUACAUAAAAUUGAAUACAGGAACAUCAAAGGCUCUGUGGCUUAGAACUUAAUGAGGGUAGCAAUAAUAAAAGGAGUUUUGUUUAAAAAAAGAAAGCCCCCUUCUCCCAAUUUUUCUUUGUUUUCUGUUCUUUGGUAGUAAUGUGUUUUCUAGGUAACCAUUCAGCAAUCCUCAAACAUGAACCAAUAGCUUGGGUAUGUUUAAGUCUCUACAUCUCUUGGGAAGUAAAUAAGUAAAUGAGAACCGUGCUUUGGAGAGUGCAUCAGUAAAUAAAAUCAACUGGUAUUAGGCUUGUUUUACAAUUAAACCUACAACCAUUUUGCCAUUUUUUUUUCCGUAUUGUUUUUCUGUAGGUGAUGAUUAUUACUAUCCUCCUAAGUAUUACUAAGCUAGAAAGCUACAAUGAAGUAAAUGACAACUUUUUCCAUUUUUUUAUUUUGUGCCUUAAAAUUAUUGUUACUGAAAUAUAGCGAUUGAAUACUGGGUGCAAAAAAAAAGAAAAAAGAAAACCAAUAUAUAUAUAUAUAUAUCCAUCCUAAAAAUAAGUCUAAGAAAUUUUAGUAUAUUAUCACAAACCAUGUUUUGUAGUUCAUUGCAGAGAAUUUAAUUAUACUUCUUACUCUGUGGUUAGUCCAUGUCUGUUUCCUCAUUUCUGUGCUUUGCAAGCAGACUAGUUUUGGCAUAUAAGUCAAAGGGACAGAGUGUGCUUAAUGAGCUCUGAGCCCUAACUUUAAUCCCCAGGAGCAAAAAAAAAA
Molecule: long non-coding RNA, 1388 nt
Organism: Onychomys torridus (southern grasshopper mouse)
Lineage: Eukaryota; Metazoa; Chordata; Mammalia; Rodentia; Cricetidae
Exons: 2
Source: RefSeq, a predicted model, not a curated record